Molecule: ribosomal RNA, 497 nt
Filed under: uncultured bacterium
Lineage: Bacteria
Description: partial 16S ribosomal RNA
Rfam family: Bacterial small subunit ribosomal RNA
Source: RNAcentral
GACGAACGCUGGCGGCGUGCCUAAUACAUGCAAGUUGAGCGCUGAAGGUUGGUACUUGUACCAACUGGAUGAGCAGCGAACGGGUGAGUAACGCGUGGGGAAUCUGCCUUUGAGCGGGGGACAACAUUUGGAAACGAAUGCUAAUACCGCAUAAAAACUUUAAACACAAGUUUUAAGUUUGAAAGAUGCAAUUGCAUCACUCAAAGAUGGUCCCGCGUUGUAUUAGCUAGUUGGUGAGGUAAAGGCUCACCAAGGCGAUGAUACAUAGCCGACCUGAGAGGGUGAUCGGCCACAUUGGGACUGAGACACGGCCCAAACGCCUACGGGAGGCAGCAGUAGGGAAUCUUCGGCAAUGGACGAAAGUCUGACCGAGCAACGCCGCGGGAGUGAAGAAGGUUGUCGGAUCGUAAAACUCUGUUGGUAGAGAAGAACGUUGGUGAGAGUGGAAAGCUCAUCAAGUGACGGUAACUACACAGAAAGGGACGGCUAACUACGUG